RNAcentral lists this ribosomal RNA (468 nucleotides) under uncultured bacterium. RNAcentral describes it as "partial 16S ribosomal RNA". It matches the Rfam family "Bacterial small subunit ribosomal RNA", at positions 28 to 507 of the family's 1533-position model. The record is from RNAcentral.
GACGAACGCUGGCGGCGUGCUUAACACAUGCAAGUCGAACGGAAAGGCCCGGCUUUUGUGCGUUGCUCGAUUGGCGAACGGGUGAGUAACACGUGAGUAACCUGCCCUUGACUUUGUGAUAACUUCAGGAAACUGGGGCUAAUACCGGAUAGGAUCUCCUGCUGCACGUUGUUGGUUGGAAAGUUUCGGCUGUUGUGUAUGGACUCGCGGCUUAUCAGCUUGUUGGUGUGGUAGUGGCUUACCAAGGCUUUGACGGGUAGCCUGCAUGAGAGGGUUACCGGGCACAUUGGGACUGAGAGACGGAGCAGUAUCGUACGGGAGGCAGUAGGGGGGAAUAUUGCAGAAUGGGCGGAAGCGUGAUGUAGCAACGCCGCGUGCGGGAUGACGGGUUUCGGGUUGUAAACAGCUUUCGAAUGUGAUGUAGAGUGCGUGACGGUAAUGGGUAAAGAAGCAACGGCUAACUACGUG